Hyaena hyaena (striped hyena) is the source of this 1187-nucleotide long non-coding RNA. RefSeq lists it as uncharacterized. The record is from RefSeq and is a predicted model, not a curated record. The transcript is spliced from 5 exons. Lineage: Eukaryota; Metazoa; Chordata; Mammalia; Carnivora; Hyaenidae.
GGGGUGACUGGGAGGGUGUUUGUGUGCUCCAUUCCCUGGGAGUGUUAACCAUACCUCAGGCUCCGUCUUAGCUUCCAGGUUGCUCUCUGUGUGGCAAAGAGAGCGUCCUGUGUGUGCUCCUCGGCUGCCCGCGCUGCUCGGACAGCCCCCUCAGCCUCUGCCCAGCGGGAUCGGGGCCGGACGGAGAAGGCUGAGGCUGCCUGAGGCUGCGGCCCAUUUUCCUGCACGGGAUCAAACCUCUCCAUCCACCCCGGGCAGGCCGGAGCUGGCGGCUCCUCCAGGACUCCGGGAAGGUAGGAUGUUGGCAAGGGCAGGCUGGACCGGGCGUGCGGGCACCGCUUGCAGGGCCCUGUGCGCCCCCCACUCCGGGACUCUCAGCAGGAAGUGAUGCGGGAACGACUCAGCCCCCAGCCCCAGCUGGAGUUUCUUCCCUUCCCGGUGACUCAGCCGGAAGCCUGGAGCUCUCAGUCCUUCGGGGCGCCCAGGAGCUAACUUCCCAGAGCACCCACUAGGCAUUUAGUUGGAUCAGGACAUACGAUCCUGGCAAGGCUGUUGUGAUGUCGGUCCCACCAUCUGUGGCUUUCAGGAGGCCUUCCUGAAAUCCCCGCUGGACGAGGGCCCCUUCCCUGCCGGCCAUUUCCUUUUCACACCUCACAAGGCGUCACCGGUCACACCGUCCGAUGACGGGCUCUGUGCCAGUCUCCUCCACCGAGCUGAGCAUCCUGCAGCUUGGGAUGGUCUUAGUCAUGUUUUGAUCAUCUGGCCAGGCAGAGCACUGACCACUCAGUCCUGCGAGCUCAGGGCCUGCCCGGACAGAAGUGUGGCGGCUGCGAAGUGCCACAGGGAGACCGGAGAGAGGCCACAAGGGCUGCAUAGGGCCCCACGGUGCCCACGUGGGAGUCCUGACUUUCCUCACUGACCGGCUGUGCCAUCCUGACCAGGGACCCGGCAUCUCUGACAGGGAGCCCUCACGGCAGCUGCUGGAAAGCCCGAAUAAAUGCAGCACGUAGAGGUGCUAAACCCCGCUCCCAGCUGCAUGCCCCUGACGAUGUGAGUUGGCGUUCCAGGCCCCAGGCCCCUCGUACGUGCAAGAUGGCUCAAUGCCACGUCCGGUGCCCGGCACACAGUGGGUGGGGGCUCCGUCCUGGGAGCACUCAUCAGAGGAGUUGAGAGGAGGCCAGAAAGGA